GAUGAAGAACGUAGCGAAAUGCGAUAAGUAGUGUGAAUUGCAGAAUUCAGUGAAUCAUCGAAUCUUUGAACGCACAUUGCGCCCUUUGGUAUUCCUUAGGGCAUGCCUGUUCGAGCGUCAUUUAAACCUUCAAGCUCAGCUUGGUGUUGGGUGACUGUCCGCUUCACCGCGGACUCGCCUCAAAAUUAUUGGCGGCCGGUACAUUGGCUCUCGAGCGCAGCAGAAACGCGUAACUCGAGGUCCUCGUGCUGGCUCCCAGAAGCUAUCUUCACAAUUUUGACCUCGGAUCAGGUAGGGAUACCCGCUGAACUUAAGCAUAUCAAUAAGGAGGA
Molecule: unclassified non-coding RNA, 332 nt
Filed under: soil metagenome
Description: partial contains 5.8S ribosomal RNA, internal transcribed spacer 2, and large subunit ribosomal RNA
Rfam family: 5.8S ribosomal RNA (bases 1-120)
Source: RNAcentral